Molecule: unclassified non-coding RNA, 232 nt
Filed under: Hevea brasiliensis (rubber tree)
Lineage: Eukaryota; Viridiplantae; Streptophyta; Magnoliopsida; Malpighiales; Euphorbiaceae
Source: RNAcentral
GUACCAAUAAUGUUAAUUCCAGCAUACAGGCAAGCCUUGUAGUGAGCAUCUGAUAUAUCUCUGCCAAAUGACUUUUCCGCUCCAGCACCACAGUAGUAAGGACCCUGAGGUCCGGGGUAGCCUCCAACAGGCCAACCUAAGGGCCAGUUUACAUUUGGCUGGAGUAAGGUGUACUCUUGUUCUAUUCCAAACCAUGGAACUUGAGCUGCAACUUUUGGGUCGCUAAAAAUUU